This 301-nucleotide ribosomal RNA is filed under the name uncultured bacterium. RNAcentral's name for it is "partial 16S ribosomal RNA". It matches the Rfam family "Bacterial small subunit ribosomal RNA", at positions 509 to 807 of the family's 1533-position model. The record is from RNAcentral.
CAGUAGCCGCGGUAAUACGUAGGUGGCAAGCGUUGUCCGGAAUUAUUGGGCGUAAAGCGCGCGCAGGCGGCCUCUUAAGUCUGAUGUGAAAGCCCCCGGCUCAACCGGGGAGGGCCAUUGGAAACUGGGAGGCUUGAGUAUAGGAGAGAAGAGUGGAAUUCCACGUGUAGCGGUGAAAUGCGUAGAGAUGUGGAGGAACACCAGUGGCGAAGGCGACUCUUUGGCCUAUAACUGACGCUGAGGCGCGAAAGCGUGGGGAGCAAACAGGAUUAGAUACCCGGGUAGUCCCUGUCUCUUAUAC